GAAAAGAUUUCAUGCUGGUUCAAGUGGGCAAAGUGUAUUGGCAUAUAAAGGCUCUGAGGAGUGGCUGUGAAGAUUCUAUUUAUUCCAUUGGUACCUGCUACUGUAGGAUUUACUAUAUGAGAAUAUAUAUAUAUAUAUAUAUAUAUAUAUAUAUAUAUACAUACAGAUGCUACAUAGUUAGGGGCCUCUCUUGCUGCUGUUAGCUUCGAGGCCCUGUUUUCGUGGUUAGGUUAGGAUAAGCCUGUGUAAAGUUAUGGUCAUGUUAGAGGAUACGUUCUACGAGCUAUGCUAUGUAAAGU
RNAcentral lists this long non-coding RNA (299 nucleotides) under Sorghum bicolor (sorghum). RNAcentral describes it as "long non-coding RNA (SBIC_LNC003764)". The record is from RNAcentral. Lineage: Eukaryota; Viridiplantae; Streptophyta; Magnoliopsida; Poales; Poaceae.